GGGGGGGAUUUAUUCAUUUCUGGGUCUGAGCAAAUUGCUUAGAAGAUGCCUGCAUUUGCUAUGCAGUGAUGUGAAUUCAGCGGCGGCUAGGAGGGCUCCAUACAAUUACAAUGGGAGUUAGAAACGUUCGUCAAACUAAGCAACAAUUGUUUUCCAUACUUAUAGUCGCCACAUUUCCCACAGUUCAAUGAAGAUUUAGUACGUAGCUGUGAAUUGUGGCAUGUGAAUUGUGAAAAUGAAUGUAGAGAAUGAAGUUAGGACACGGAAAAGUUUAAAAUAGAGAAACACAACGCAAAGAAAACUUCGAAACAAGGGCAAAGUUAAAGUCUCACUGCGUACAGAAAGUAAUGAUAUUGAUGGCUAUCAGAAAUACGACUAUGCUACUAAUGACUAUGUAGAUGACUAUGAUGACUUCAUGUAAAUAUGUACUGUUGAGAUGCGCAUACCAUAUGGCAU
Long non-coding RNA from Anastrepha obliqua, 456 nucleotides. RefSeq lists it as uncharacterized. The transcript has 4 exons. Lineage: Eukaryota; Metazoa; Arthropoda; Insecta; Diptera; Tephritidae. The record is from RefSeq and is a predicted model, not a curated record.